AUACGGAGGGUGCAAGCGUUGUUCGGAAUUACUGGGCGUAAAGCGCGCGUAGGCGGAUUGGUCAGUUGGGGGUGAAAUCCCAGGGCUUAACCCUGGAACUGCCUCCAAUACUGUCAGUCUUGAGUUCGGGAGAGGUGAGUGGAAUUCCUAGUGUAGAGGUGAAAUUCGUAGAUAUUAGGAAGAACACCAGUGGCGAAGGCGGCUCACUGGCCCGAUACUGACGCUGAGGCGCGAAAGCGUGGGGAGCAAACAGGAUUAGAAACCCUAGUAGUCC
RNAcentral lists this ribosomal RNA (274 nucleotides) under uncultured bacterium. Its description in RNAcentral is "partial 16S ribosomal RNA". It matches the Rfam family "Bacterial small subunit ribosomal RNA", at positions 523 to 796 of the family's 1533-position model. The record is from RNAcentral.